This 295-nucleotide unclassified non-coding RNA is filed under the name Hevea brasiliensis (rubber tree). Lineage: Eukaryota; Viridiplantae; Streptophyta; Magnoliopsida; Malpighiales; Euphorbiaceae. The record is from RNAcentral.
AAAAGAUUCAAUAACACCAGCUGAUCCUCCUCGAACCUGCAAGUUGACUGAAGCGUUGACUUUGAGUCGAAUGCCUUGAUGGGAAAUGGAAGAAGAGAGCUUCGUUACGAUUUUCCCUUCCACUGGUUCAUUAGGGCGAUAAAUGCGGUUGGAUCGCGAAAGUUUGAUCUCUACUGACAUGACGAUGAAGACGGAAAAAAGGAACAAAGCUUCUAAGAGCCAAAAAAACUCCGGGAGUUUUCGCCGGAUUUAUCGCCGGAAUUUUAUUUGCACCGGCCGGAUCAGCCGAAACCCG